Molecule: long non-coding RNA, 41176 nt
Filed under: Triticum aestivum (bread wheat)
Lineage: Eukaryota; Viridiplantae; Streptophyta; Magnoliopsida; Poales; Poaceae
Description: long non-coding RNA (TAES_LNC022565)
Source: RNAcentral
GUCACCAAACACUGACAGAAUUUCAGCUCACUUACCCAAUCAAGUGUCAUCAGCAGAUAUAUGUAAUACAGUCUGAGCAAACUGAAACGUGCCAAAUAUGCCCUGAAGUACCCGUGUUCACGCUUUUCAUGUAUCAAGAAUUCAAGAUUCAAGAACCAUCUGACCCGCAACCAAACCAAACAGACCAAAUUUAGCUGCAGACAGCGGUAACAGAGCCAUCAAAACAAAUGGUAUCCACCCAAUGCAUCUUAACUAUCUGAUUUGGGCAAAACAAAAUAGGCAAUGUGCGGGUGCACAUGGAGUACAUUGCAAAAUUGAGGUGCGGUACAGUGUUAAGUUAAAAUCUCACAGCAGCUGCCACCCGGCACCUAAUCUUCCUGCAACGCCUUCAUCAAGUAUAGCCUGUUGAAACUCUGGCCAGCAACCCUGCAAUCAUAAAUGGCAACAAUCAAUACAAGGGCCUAUCAAACCUGCACCAAGUGUGCUUAAAAAACAUGCAAAAAGGCCUGCCAAACCAACUAACAAUGAAUCCACAUAUGCAUAGGAAUGUUACAGAAUCCAUACCCAUUGAUAUGGUUGCAGUAACUCGAGAUCUGAUUGGUUACGAGAUAACCCUCUAAGCGGGAUGGCUCAGGAAGCGGCUUGAAGAUAGGGUUGGAUGGAUCUUCUUCUGGCAACGGCUCCUCGCCAGCAGCCUUUCUGGACAUGUUCUCUUGCCUGUAGUGUCACAAACAAUAAGGGGGGGUGUUUAAUGUCCACACAUUUGCUGUACUAGCUUCUGGGAGGCACUAUCUUUGGAUGACACAAGAGCUAAUAAACAGCAAUGGUUCAGUAUUUGUUUUCACCUUCUCUUUUGAAGCCAUGCCUGUUGCUGUGACUGUUGCCUUCCUAGGUUGCGAUAGUAAUAUUGGAACUACAUUAAAAGGAAAACUCAGUCAAACAAAUACAUUUGUCGCUUGAAUCCAGUUCUUUUAAAGUCGAAGGUUACCUUGUUUUGCUCUGAUGAAAGACCAUCCAUGCACCCAAUCAUAAAUUCUAGGUUCCUUUCCAUAAAGGGCGCAGUCGACAAUUUAAGACGGUCAAAGUCACACUGGGACCAGAAAUGGAAAAUAUGUUACUCCAGGAAAUGCUAAAAGGAGAAGACAUAUUUUCUACAAAUGCAUUUAGGAGUAGAAAAUCUCAACCUGUGAAACAGGUGACUCAGGUUCCAGCUCCUUCAUGAAGGCACUGACAAGCGCCGAGUUGGACACUUUAAUCUGCGAGACAAACAAAAAACGAUACAUCAAGAGAUCAAUUUCAUUGCCAUGAUUAUACAGAAGAUAUAAGAGCGCGCACCGGUAUCUCCUCGAAAAUAUCAACCCAUGACAAUUUCUUUUCCCUUAGCCUGUGAAUACAACGGGUCAUUCGCACAUACAAUGUCUGAGACUUAGAAAAAGUAGAGUCACAGAAACCAAACCAUACUUCUCUCCAGUUAAACCAUUGUUGCGGUACAGAUCCAUAAAAGAGUCUGUGAGCUUCAGGGCUUUAAGAGCUAGCACUCCUUGACUAGAUCUAGAUGGGUCAUACACAAUACACACGCAUCUCCGGAUGUUCUCCUGUGAGAUGUAAACGUUAAUCCAGCAAGGAAAAUGGGAGACCAAGUAAUAAAAACCAUGAUGACCUUAGGACCUACUCAAAGAUAAGCAUGAAGCUGAUACUGAAAAAUGUUUACUUGAAAGCUCAGGCAUAACUAUGAAGCUGAAUAGCUGAUACUGAAAAAUCAUUUGCUUGAAGCUCGUACUGCAGCAUUUCAUGUAUACCUUGCUUAACCUUACAAUUGCACUAGUAAUUGUUCUUGGAAAGCAUUUGAAACUUGAAACAUAAUGCCUGAUCUGUAAAAACUAAGCACCUACUUGAAAAUUGAAAUACAGCUGAAACUUGAACCUAACACCAAAACCUUGUUGAAACCACACACUGACACCUGAAAUCUGUUGAAUUUUGGAGGGAGGGGAGGCCGACGAAUGUACAACCAGACCACCGUUGUCCACUUUACUAAGAAGCAUGGACAUGCCAGAAAUUGCCGAUUGGCCGUCCUGAUGGCGGGAGAAUCAUUUUUUUCAAAAGAAAAAUAAACAGGGGCAUGGUGGAAUACGGUACAUGACACGUCUGGGACACGGCUUGGCCAAAAAACAGCCUCGGCCCAAUACCUUGCAGGGGUCGGUUGCACGCACGCUCUCCAUAUGACGUGCUUCUCCCAGCCUCCCAGACAGCAGUGAAUGCGCCGCCGGCGGCGGCGGCAACACCUGGAAUCGACCGGCGACCGCUACCCCCAGCACCAGCAGCCUCUCCUCCCAACGGCAGGUAACCCCAACUCCCCAAACCCAGCAGCCUCUCCUCAACAUCUUCAUCUCUUUUAUUAUGAUUUUCUUCCAUUGAGCUGCUGGCUGCUGCGUGCUGCUGUUUGCUACGGUGCUCCCAUGUUCUGCUGCUCUUUGAAUGCUUGUGCUGCAUGUUGUUAGGUAGCAUGGCAUCUGGGAGUGCCACAACCGGUACGGGUAGCCAAUCGUCCGUGGGUGAGAGUGAAGGGCAGCCUCGUCCUGGUGUUUAAGAUCCCAAUUCCCAAGUAUCAUGUGUGGUCUUCUUCAGUCUCUAGUACUAGACUAGCAUUUGAUGUGUUUUGCAAGAUGCAACUUGCAUUGACAUGGGACUAUGGGAGGAUCAAUCAACCAAUUGAUGGAGGAGACACCAAAUUGGGCAGCAUUAUGAUGUCUCUCUUUUUUGCCGUGUAACUCUAUAUUAAAUGGCAUUUUUUCUUUUUAUUUUAUAUGAACUUGCUGUAUCCCCAAAUGGCUGUUUCGGAAAAUUCCAUAUCCCGUGUCCCCGUAUGCCUAUCGCCGUGUCUCCGUCCCCGUAUCCGUGCUUCUUCACCUCUUUAUGUGUACACGUAAAGGAGAAACCAGAUAGGUGCAUUCGUCUGGCUUCCCUACUGCCCGCCAUAGAAAAUCUGAAAAAAAAGAUGGAUCUGCCCCUCCAUUCCAACACUAGAUAAAAACUACAAACGUAACUUCCCUAGUCAAGUCCCAAAGCCCAUAAACUCCUUAAGCUAAAACUCCUACAAAUUCCCUUUUUAGAUAUACACAAUAUCUUAGUAUGACUAAAAUCAUCUUUUAUGGUAGACCACAAUGUGACUCUUUGAUAUAGAUAUGUAUGUAAACUCAAGAGUAGACCACAGAUUUGGCAUGUUCAAAACUGUUAACCAAAAGGAUGGUCCGGUAAAAACAUCUAAAACAGGGAGGUUCCAACAUUAGUGAAAUAUUUUUCAACACCAGCAUGCAGCUCAUUUCUCUAACUGUACCUGAUAGUUCAUAAAUGUUUCAAUCAGCUCAACGGUUUGAAAAGAUCCAAGCAAGCAGGACUGAUACCUGCAAGGAAGGUAAAAGCAAAAGCAAUGCAAAGGGUCAACAUUGUGAUCCAGUAGCAGAGUACAACAUGAAUGUUAUGCUAGAAGCCACAACGUAAGCAAGAAACAACAUAACAGCAUCAUACUCGUGUAGCUCAAGAUAAAAUAUGGUGGACAAGCAUCAUGACUCACAAACUCAUAAUAGUGUAUUUAUAAUUAAGAAAUAUACAGUGCGUUUUGAACAAGACAUGUAAACAGGUCGACUAGUAUAUCAAUAGUGUAAACUAUACCUCAUAAGCACCUAACACAGACCACUUAAAUGCUAACCCAGUAACCCUAACUCCCUCAGAUUUCCCCGAGUUUUGAUGUUACUCCACAUAAUAAACAAAUCUAGCAGCCUUUACGAAUUAGUGUUCCAGAAAGAUAAAUUACACUUGUCAAUUUGAAAAGAAUCUAGUUAAGAAAUUUAGACAUAGCUAACGUAAAACCAUGAAGUACCGGCAGAAUACACACCUAGCAGCUAUGACCAACACUUGUUAGUUCUCACUUCUCAGCAUAGUUAAAAAAGGCGCGCCUAAGCGAGCGCUUAAGCGCGCCUAGGCUCUAGGCGUUGGCAAAACGCAUUGCGCAUAACUACGCUUAAUCCGCGCAUAAUUGCGCAUAAGCAUACGCUUUGGUCAGUAAAGCGCAAGGCGGUGGCAAAACGCACAAUUAACGCCUAGCGCUUUUUUGAACUAUGCUUCUCAGCGCCAACAGCAAUACCAUAUUGCAUUGGCAAAUGAACAUGCCUCAAUUAUGUCUGGCUGUAACAUUUCCUACAGGCCUACAAUGCCAUCAAUAUAAGAAAAAACAUAGCAUAGCAUACAGAUUGUCAAUUCGAAACAAUGAAAAACUAUUGUCUAUCGAGGAGUAUGUCAGUACACUUCUACACUCUGGUCGUUCAGUUAUGCAAGACGGACAAAUAAUACAUAAAUACACGAAGAUCUGUGAAUUUGUCAAACGUACAUGUCAAAUAUCUAAACACACCACUAACUAUUCCUUAAUGAAUUUGAGUAUCAAUACUGAAUCGGAUGAAAUAGCUUCUCACCAUCCAACAGUGUUAUUGUCGACAUUAACCUCCCUCAAGCACCUCAUCAUCUCAAGCUGAUAGUUCGCACCAUCUGCAUCUGCUUCCUCGUCGUCCUCUCUUAUCUACAGUGUAAGGUAGGUAUUAUUCGCCAAUAGAUCAGAUGAAUCACAAGUAUCCUGGAAGUAACACCGCCAAGAAUGUCAAAGACUCACAGGGAAAGGAAAACAGUUGGUCACUUCCAGAACACUACCAACAUCCAAACCAAGCAGUUGACCUGUAACCAGAGCAGGCGCAAACUCCUCACAGCGCUUAAUGAUCUUCAGGACAGCCUGCAUAUUAAGAGACAAACAAAUGAUAAUUAGAAGAAAUUACACCAGCCCAGCUGUGUUUAGUAAUACAGACGCCAGUUGCUAGUCAUGGAAAUACCAACUGAUGAACCACUGGCAUACUGUAGCUGAUCUAAUCUAACUUAGUUAAAACCAGGUGAAACUUUUGUUUCAGUGUCAACCCAGUCUACACUUUUUUCGACAGGUCAAUAUUUUGGUUUAACAGUAUUGGGCUUCCAAUAACAUGCAAAACUGAAACAGGUAAAUGGAGCUAAAGAAACAACAUUAUCAAUUGUAUCCGUAGGCACCCCAGAUAAUAACAUAUGUAAGUGUGUUCUAUUAUUCAAUGUGUAUCAAAGAAAACUAGGAAAGUAGCACUAGUACCCUUUUAUAUGUGCAAACAUAUUACUAAACAGAUUGAUGUUCUCGGUGUACUUAGAGUUUAUUUUGAAGAAAAAUAUGUUCAAAUGUAGCAACUCUAGCAAAAGGUUCAGGGAGGUAUUGUAUACAAGGAAAGAGCAUCCAAUCGGUGGUCUAUGGCAAUAGACUAGACGCUGUUCUAGCCCCUCUAUGAACUACAAAUCAUACCGGAGUUGCGGUUAGCAAAAGGGUAGUUUUUCAAAAUAACUUACUCAUUUCUACUUCAAGAUGCAAAAGGUUAGUUGAAAGCGCCUUUGUUCAAAUAUGUAACAUGUACUGUAAUUAAUAAAUAUUCCCCUAACUAACUUGGCUCCACAGCACAGUAAAUUAACCACAAACUUCACCAAUGUCAAAUCAGCAAUCAUCUCAAUACAGAUCCGCCGAAAAGCGAGAGCUACCCCUAAUUUAUCUCACGCGUCAGCGACCAAAAUCAAACGAACUAAAACUGCGUAUGCACGCCAGACUCUCCCGAACGAACGCAAGAGGGGGAUCGAGAGCAAUCACCAGUCCCUCCAUCUGGACGACGCGGAGCGGCACCGCCGCCUCUUCGGUGACCGUCGACAUGGCCUGCAGGAACGACUUCCCUCCCGCCGCCAGUGCUGCUACACAUCAGCCAACCAACCACCCGACGGCAUCCAGAGUUAAAAGCGUGCAAUAAGAUAGGGCGUGGAGCGGAACGGACGAGGAUGUUGGCGUCACUUACGAUUCGCCAUGGCUGCUCGGUGGUCGGCGGCGCGGGGGCACGAAGAGGGACUGGAGGGACGGCGCGAGGAGAGGAGGACGGAGAGGGGUGGAUGUGCGGGCUAGGGUUUUUGGUGUGGCAACGAGGCUAUUCGGUCGAGUCUGUCUUGGUCGAUGUGCGGCGCAGAUCGACUCCGGUUUUUCGCUGUACACCGGUUGGAAAACAGGAAAGUUUCGUAGAGUCGAUUUAAAUUUGGUUUCGUGUUUCGGAUUAUUCAGGACAACUUUCGCCUAAUUUCUUCAUAAUAUAAAAAGGGGCGUGCUACGCGUCGGCCGGCGGAUCUUUUCAUUCGUUGCCACGUGAGCCGUCAGAUCUGGUUCAAUCCAUUGGCUGACCGUCAUCUUUUACUUAUGCAACAGAAAUCGUGUGACAAAACCCUUUACAAUAGAAAUAUGUGUUGCUAAAACAUUUGCAACAGAGAUUGUAUUGCCAAUUUUUUUCGUAGCUGACGUGAUGUUGCAGAAACAUUUGCAGAUAUUUUUACAAGAAAUAUUAAGUUGCAGAAGAUUUAUGCAACAAAGAAAAUGUUGCAGGAACUGCUGUUGCGGUGGCACCAACAGUUGCGGCUAAAGCUCGAGGAGGCAACAACCAUGGAUGCUGGUGCUCCUCAGGGGAGUUGGUGUGCUUGCCGACAGUGAGCCCCGGUGGCGAUGGUCGGAGCAGUGUGGUGGCGACUGCUUGUGAGGAAUAUGGGAGGCGCAUGCUCGUGUUUGUCGGCGGCCUCGUCAACAUGCUUAUCAGCAGCCUCGUCGGCGUGCUUGCCGGCCGCGGCGACCGUACUUGUUGGUGGCCUCGUUGGCGUGUUUGAUAGCGACAGUGGUCGGAGCAGUGCGCGGAGGUCGUGGCUUAACGAGGAGCUCGAGAGCAGUACGGGAGGUGAUUAUCUCUCGAGGGGAUUCAGAUCCCGCAACACACCAGUUGUUGUGGUGGGGAGAUUUCAACAACUACUCAGUUGCAAGACUUAGUCUAGAUAAUACAUUGCUUCUGAGCCAUCUGAUUAAAAUCAUAUUUGACGGUCACAAAGGCGACGGACGCACACGUCGUUAUUAGUCGGAUGAUUUGAUUAUUUCCCAUAUAAAACACCUUUUGAGACAAAACUUAAGUUUUUUCUGGUGAAAGAAAUUACAUGGACCGAUAAGUGACACACGUGUGGCACGAAGCAAUUCCGCCAUGACGUUUUUUAUGGCAACUUUAGUUAUGAGAGAAUGGCAACUUUCUGUUUGGAUGGCAAGUUUUAGUUUUUUGGGGGAUUUGUUUUUUUGGAUGGCACCUUUAGUGUAAAAAACGUCAGGGCGGUGUUACUUCAUGACACAGGUGUGGCACUUAUCAUUUGAGAAAAACAUUCAAGAUUAUAUAGGAUUAUACACGAAAGACCUUUUUUUGGCUUAAGUAUUUGAAAAGAAGGAAAUCUAGGGCUCACUUGGUUUACGAGAUUUUCAUAUUAAGUAUAGUAGGAAAAAAUUGAGAUGUCCUCUUCACUCUAAUGCUUAUUAGGAUUUUUUCCAUAUGAAAACUGAUAUAGAGCCUGGCACUCCUGACUGCCUCGGCGCGACGCAAGCGCUACAGUCGAAUCUCAAUGCACGAAAUCUCGGUGUUGGGCGCUUAGGCCACAUAGACACCAACCGUUCAUUCCCAGGGUGGAAAACGCGCCACAUGGGGGUGGGUAGUUGCUUUCUCAAGGGGGUUUGGAACCACGCCUCACAAUCGCUUGCUCUCUCUCAUUUCCACUUGCCUCUUCCUCUUCACCCGCGUGAUGUUGUCCUAUUCUCCGGCGAAUAGAUUGCCAUUGCUCACCGGUGGACGGAUUCGACAAUCCCGCCGCGCCAUUGCAUCAAGCUUUGAGGCGGGCUCAUUUUCACCAACCAGUUGUUCGCUCGGGUUCAUCUUUACACGUUGGGGUUCGAGAGAGUGAGGGUUGUUGGGUAACGUUGCAUGGAAAACAAAAAAAAUCUACACACACACAUAAGAUCUAACUAUGGAGAUGCAUAGCAACGAGAGGGAGAGUGUGUCUAUGUACCCUUGUAGACCGUAAAGCGGAAGCGUUUAACAACAUGGUUGAUGUAGUCGAACACCUUCGUGAUCCAACCGACCAAGUACCGAAUGUAUGGCACCUCCAUGUUCAGCACAUGUUCAACUCGAUGACGUCCUUGCCUUCUUAAUCCAGCAAGACGGGCGAAGUAGUAGAUGAGUUCCGGCGGCACAACGACGUGGUGACGGUGAUGGUGAACUUGUUCCCGCAGGGCUUCGUCGUGCACUGCAAAAAACUAGACGGAGGACUAAAUUGUGGAGAGGGGCGCCGCGCACGGCUAACAGAUUGUUGUGGGUUUGUGUGGCGCCCCCUCCCUCAUAUAUAUAGGUGGGGGGAGGGGAGGCAGCCAAGGGGCGCCCCGAGGUGGCCGACCGGCCCCCUUGGGCUCCUGCCCUAUGCCCCCCCUUCCUUGUUUGCAUGUGGGGAGAAGGCAGGAGGAGGUGCCCCCCUCCCUUUUCCUUCCUCUUAGGUGGAGGGAUGGAAAGAGGGGCUAGCCCUCCCCCCUUUCCAUCCAUAGGGUCGGCGGCCAAGAGAAGGGGCGCGCCAGCCCCAUGUGCGCUGGUGUGUUCCCCCUUCUUGGCCCAUAAGGCCCAUUAACCUCCUGGGGCUUCUCGGAACCCCUUCUCGUGAUCCGAUGACUACCCGAUACACUCUGAAACCUUUUUGGUGACCAAAUAGCAUCGUCCUAUAUAUCAAUUUUUAUGUCCGGACCAUUCUAGAGCUCCUCAUCAUGUCCAUGAUCUCAUCCGGGACUCCGAACAACAUUCGGUCACCAAAUCACAUAAACUCAUAUAAUACUAUACCAUCAACGAACGUUAAGUGUGCGGACCCUACGGGUUCGAGAAUGAUGUAGACAUGACCGGGAUGCCUCUCCAGUCAAUAACCAAUAGCGGAACCUGGAUGCGCAUAUUGGUUCCUAUAUAUUCUACGAAGAUCUUUAUAGGUCGAACCUUAUGACAACAUAAGUAAUCCCCUUUGUUUGUCGGUAUGUUACUUGCCCGAGAUUUGAUCGUCGGUAUCUUCAUACCUAGUUCAAUCUCGUUGCCGGCAAGUCUCUUUACUCGUUCCAUAACACAUCAUCUUAUAACUAACUCCUUAGUCAUUUUGCUUGCAAGCUUCUUGUGAUGUGUAUUACCGAGAGGGCCCAAAGAUACCUCUCCGAUACACUGAGUGACAAAUCCAAAUCUCGAUCCAUGCCAACUCAACAGACACCUUCAGAGAUACCUGUAGAGCAUCUUUAUGAUCACUCAGUUACGUUGUGACGUUUGAUAGCACACAAGGUAUUCCUCCGGUAUCCGGGAGUUGCACGAUCUCAUAGUCAAAGGAAUAUGUAUUUGACAUUAAGAAAGCAAUAGCAAUAAACUAAACGAGUAUAUGCUAAGCUAACGGAUGGGUCUUGUCCAUCACAUCAUUCUCCUAAUGACGUGAUCCCGUUAUCAAGUGACAACACAUGUCUAUGGUUAGGAAACCUUAACCAUCUUUGAUCAACGAGCUAGUCUAGUAGAGGCUCACUAGGGACACGAUAUUUUGUUUAUGUAUCCACACAUGUAUUUAAGUUUUCGAUCAAUACAAUUAUAGCAUGAAUAAUAAACCUUUAUCAUGAAUAAGGAAAUAUAAUAAUAACAACUUUAUUAUUGCCUCUUGGGCAUAUUUCCAUCAGUCUCCCACUUGCAUUAGAGUCAAUAAUCUAGAUUACAUUGUAAUGAAUCUAACACCCAUGGAGUCUUGGUAUUGAUCAUGUUUUGCUCACAAAAGAGGCUUAGUCAACGGGUCUGCUACAUUCAGAUCCGUGUGUAUUUUGCAAAUUUCCAUGUCUCCAUCCUUAACCUUUUCACGAAUGGAGUUGAAGCGUCUCUUGAUGUGUUUGGUUCUCUUGUGAAACAUGGAUUCCUUUACAAAGGCAAUUGCUCCAGUGUUGUCACAAAAGAUUUUCAUUGGACCCGACGCACUAGGUAUUACACCCAGAUUGGAUAUGAACUCCUUCAUCCAGACUCCUUCAUGUGCUACUUCUGAAGCAGCUAUGUACUCCGCUUCACACGUAGAUCCCGCCACAACGCUCUGCUUGGAACUGCACCAACUCACAGCUCUACCAUUCAAUACAAAUAUGUAUCCGGUUUGUGACUUAGAGUCAUCCAGAUCAGUGUCGAAUCUAGCAUCAACGUAACCAUUUACGAUGAGUUCUUCGUCACCUCCAUAAACGAGAAACAUAUCCUUGGUCCUUUUCAGGUACUUUAGGAUGUUCUUGAUCGUCGUCCGGUGAUUCACUCCUGGAUCACUUUGGUACCUCCCUGCCAAACUUAUGGCAAGGCACACAUCAGGUCUGGUACACAAUAUAGCAUACAUGAUAGAACCUAUGGCUGAGGCAUAGGGAAUGACUUCAUUUUCUCUCUAUCUUCUGCCGUUGUCGGGCUUUGAGUCUGACUCAAUUUCACACCUUGCAACACAGGCAAGAACCCUUUCUUUGACCGAUCCAUUUUGAACUUCUUCAAAACUUUGUCAAGGUAUAUGCUUUGUGAAAGUCCUAUUAAGCAUCUCGAUCUAUCCCUAUAGAUCUUGAUGCCCAAUAUAUAAGUAUCUUCACUGAGGUAUUUCAUUGAAAAAUUCUUAUUCAAGUAUCCUUUUAUGCUAUCCAGAAAUUCUAUAUCAUUUCCAUCCAACAAUAUGUCAUCUACACAUAAUAUCAGAAAUGCUACAGAGCUCCCACUCACUUUCUUGUAAAUACAGGCUUCACCGCAUGUCUGUAUAAAACCAUAUGCUUUCAUCGUAUCAUCAAAGCGUAUAUUCCAACUUCGAGAUGCUGCACCAGUCCAUAGAUGGAUCACUCGAACUUUCACACUUUGUUAGCACCUUUAGGAUCGGUAAAACCUUCUAGUUGCAUCAUAUACAAAUCUUCUUUAAGAAAUCCAUUAAGGAAUGCAGUUUUGACGUCCAUUUGCCAGAUUUCAUAAUUAUGAAAUGCGACAAUUGCUAACAUGAUUCAGAUACACUUAAGCAUCGCUACGGGUGAGAAAAUCCCAUUGUAGUCAAUCCCUUGAACUUGUCGAAAACCUUUUGUGACAAGACGAGUGCUACAUCUUGAGCUUGCGUUGAUUUUCCUUGAAGAGGAAAGGGUGAUGCAGCAAUAGUAGCGUAAGUAUUCCCCUCAGUUUUUGAGAACCAAGGUAUCAAUCCAGUAGGAGGCUCCUCAAAAGUCCCACACACCUACACAAACAAACAAAGAACUCGCAACCAACGAAAUAAAGGGGUUGUCAAUCCCUUCACGGUCACUUGCGAAAGUGAGAUCUGAUAGAGAUAAUAUGAUAAGAUAAAUAUAUUUUUGGUAUUUUAUAAUAUAGAUGCAAAAAGUAAAGAUGCAAAUAAAAGUAGAUUGAAAGCUUAUAUGAUAAAAGAUAGACCCGGGGACCAUAGGUUUCACUAGUGGCUUCUCUUAAGAUAGCAUAAGUGUUACGGUGGGUGAACAAAUUACUGUCGAGCAAUUGAUAGAAAAGUGAAUAAUUAUGAGAUUAUCUAGGCAUGAUCAUGUAUAUAGGCAUCACGUCUGCAACAAGUAGACCGACUCCUGCCUGCAUCUACUACUAUUACUCCACACAUUGACUGACUCCUGCCUGCAUCUAGAGUAUUAAGUUCAUAAAGAACAGAGUAACGCAUUAAGCAAGAUUACAUGAUGUAGAGGGAUAAACUCAUGCAAUAUGAUAUAAACCCAAUCUUUUUAUCCUCGAUGGCAACAAUACAAUACGUGCCUUGCAACCCUUUCCGUCACUGGGUAAGGACACCGCAAGAUUGAACCCAAAGCUAAGCACUUCUCCCAUGGCAAGAAAGAUCGAUCUAGUAGGCCAAACCAAACUGAUAAUUCGAAGAGACUUGCAAAGAUAACUCAAUCAUACAUAAAAGAAUUCAGAGGAGAUUCAAAUACUUCUCAUAGAUAAACUUGAUCAUAAACCCACAAUUCAUCGGAUCUCGACAAACACACCGCAAAAGGAGUUUACAUCGAAUAGAUCUCCACAAGAGAGGGGGAGAACAUUGUAUUGAGAUCCAAAAAGAGAGAAGAAGCCAUCUAGCUAAUAACUAUGGACCCGAAGGUCUAUGGUAAACUACUCAUAACUCAUCGGAGAGGCUAUGGUGUUGAUGUAGAAGCCCUCCUUGGUCGAUUCCCCCUCCGGCGGAGCGCCGGCGAGGGCUCCAAGAUGGGAUCUCGCGGAUACAGAAGGUUACGGCGGUGGAAAUUGUGUUUCGUUGGCUCCCUGGAUGUUUUCGGGGUACGUAGGCUUAUAUAGGAGGAAGAAGUACAUCGGUGGCCGCCCGAGGGGCCCACGAGAUAGGGGGCGCGCCCAGAGGGGGUGGGCGUGCCCUCCUGUCUCAUGGCCGCCUCGACUGCUUUUUGACUUGCACUCCAAGUCCUUUGAACCACGUUCGUUCCAAAAAUCACGCUCCCGAAGGUUCAUUCCAUUUGGACUCCGUUUGAUAUUCCUUUUCUUCGAAAUACUGAAAUAGGCAAAAAAACAGCAAUACGGGCUGGGCCUCUGGUUAGUAAGUUAGUCCCAAAAAUGAUAUAAAUGUGUAAAAUAAAGCCCAUAAACAUCCAAAAGAGGUAAUAUAAUAGCAUGGAACAAUAAAAAAUUAUAGAUACGUUGGAGACGUAUCAAGCAUCCAUUCCUGCUCGUCCUCGAGUAGGUAAAUGAUAAAAAUAGAAUUUUUGAUGUGGAAUGCUACCUAGCAUAAUUCUCAAUGCAAUUUUCUUUAUUGUGGCGUGAAUGUUUAGAUCCAAAUGAUUCAAGAUAAAAGCUUAUAAAACAUAAAAAUAAUAAUGCUUCAAAGCAUACUAACAAAUAAUCAUGUCCUGUCAAAAUAGCAUAGCCAAAGAAAGCUUAUCCCUACAAAAUCAUAUAGUUAGGCCAUGCUUCAUUUUCAUUACACAAAAUACUCCCAUCAUGCACAACCCCGAUGAUGGGCCGAGCAACUUUUUCAUACUUUUUAACGCGCUUCAGCUUUUUUUCAACUCUUACGCAAUACAUGAGCGUAAGCCAUGGACAUAGCACUAAGGUGGUAAAAGAUGGUGGUUGUGAGGACAAAAAGAGGGAGAAGAUAGUCUCACAUCAACUAGGCGUAUCAACGGGCUAUGGAGAUGCCCAUCAAUAGUUAUCAAUGUGAGUGAGUAGGGAUUGCCAUGCAACGGAUGCACUAGAGCUAUAAAUAUAUGAAAGCUCAACAAAAGAAACUAAGUGGGUUGCAUCCAACUCACUUGCUCACGAAGACCUAGGGCAUUUUGAGGAAGCCCAUCAUUGGAAUAUACAAGCCAAGUUCUAUAAUGAAAAAUUCCCACUUAGUAUAUGAAAGUGACAACAUAGGAGACUCUCUAUCAUGAAGAUCAUGGUGCUACUUUGAAGCACAAGUGUGGAAAAAGAGAUAGUAGCAUUGUCCCUUCUCUCUUUUUCUCUCNNNNNNNNNNNNNNNNNNNNNNNNNNNNNNNNNNNNNNNNNNNNNNNNNNNNNNNNNNNNNNNNNNNNNNNNNNNNNNNNNNNNNNNNNNNNNNNNNNNNNNNNNNNNNNNNNNNNNNNNNNNNNNNNNNNNNNNNNNNNNNNNNNNNNNNNNNNNNNNNNNNNNNNNNNNNNNNNNNNNNNNNNNNNNNNNNNNNNNNNNNNNNNNNNNNNNNNNNNNNNNNNNNNNNNNNNNNNNNNNNNNNNNNNNNNNNNNNNNNNNNNNNNNNNNNNNNNNNNNNNNNNNNNNNNNNNNNNNNNNNNNNNNNNNNNNNNNNNNNNNNNNNNNNNNNNNNNNNNNNNNNNNNNNNNNNNNNNNNNNNNNNNNNNNNNNNNNNNNNNNNNNNNNNNNNNNNNNNNNNNNNNNNNNNNNNNNNNNNNNNNNNNNNNNNNNNNNNNNNNNNNNNNNNNNNNNNNCAAGUGUGGAAAAAGAGAUAGUAGCAUUGUCCCUUCUCUCUUUUUAUCUCAUCAUUUUUUUUCUUUUUCUUUUUUUUCUUUCUCUUUUUUUUCUUAUUUGGCCUUUUUCUUUUUUUCUUUUUGGCCUUUCUCUUUUUUUUUUUGCUUUUUUUUCUUUUUUUUGUAAAGUCUGAAGUCUCAUCCCGACUUGUGGGGGGAAUCAUAGUCUUCAUCAUCCUUUCCUCACUAAGACAAUGUUGUAAUAAUGAAGAUCAUCACACUUUUAUUGAUUUACAACUCAAGAAUUACAACUUAAAGCUAGAACAAGAUAUGACUCUAUAUGAAUGCCUCCGGCGGUGUACCGGGAUAUGCAAUGAAUCAAGAGCGACAUGUAUGAAAAUUAUGAAGGUGGCCUUGCCACAAAUACGAUGUCAACUACAUGAUCAUGCAAAAAGCAAUAUGACAAUGAUGGAACGUGUCAUAGUAAACGGAACGGUGGAAAGUUGCAUGGCAAUAUAUCUCGGAAUGGCUAUGGAAAUGCCAUAAUAGGUAGGUAUGGUGGCUGUUUUGAGGAAGGUAAAUAAAGGGUUCAUGAUACCGGUGAAAGUUGUGCGGUAAUAAUAGAGGCUAGCAAAGUGGAAGGAUGAGUGUGCGUAUAUCCAUGGACUCACAUUAGUCAUAAAGAACUCAUAUACUUAUUGCAAAAGUCUACUUAGCCCUCAAAGCAAAGUACUACUACGCAUGCCCCAAGAGGGAUAGAUUGGUAGGAAAAGACCAUCGCUCAUCCCCGACUGCCAUUCAUAAGGAAAACAAUCAAAAGAGCACCUCAUGCAACAAAUUUGUCACACAACUUUUACCAUACAUGCAUGCUACGGGACUUGCCAACUUCAACAAAAGUAUUUCUCAAAUUCAAAAUCACCUAUUAGCAUGACCCUAACAUUACUACCUUUAUAUCUCAAAACAAUUAUCAAGCAUCACAUUAAUCAUAGCAUCCAAUUCACUUCCUAUGAUAGUUUUUAUUAUACAUGGAAGGAUCGAGAAAAUGUGUCUAGAGGGGGGGUGACUAGACACUAAGUACCAAAAGUUCCAGUUUUUAACUUCUUUAAGUUGGAGUGGAGUUUAGGCACAAGUUUAACAUUCACAAUACAUAUCAAGCAAGUAUGCAAAGAGUAUAUGAGCAACGGAAAGUAAAGCAUGCAACUUGCAAGAAUGUAAAGGAAAGGGUUUGGAGGAUUCAAACGCAAUUGGAGACACGGAUGUUUUUGUCAUGGUUCCGAUAGGUGGUACUAUCAUACAUCCACGUUGAUGGAGACUUCAACCCACGAAGGGUAACAGUUGUGCGAGUCCACGGAGGGCUCCACCCACUAAGGGUCCACGAAGAAGCAACCUUGUCUAUCCCACCAUGGUCGUCGCCCACGAAGGACUUGCCUCACUAGCGGUAGAUCUUCACGAAGUAGGCGAUCUCCUUGCCCUUACAAACUCCUUGGUUCCACUCCACAAUCUUGUCGGAGGCUCCCAAGUGACACCUAGCCAAUCUAGGAGAUACCACUCUCCAAGAAGUAACAAAUAGUGUGUUGAUGAUGAACUCCUUGCUCUUGUGCUUCAAAUGAUAGUCUCCCCAACACUCAACUCUCUCUCACAGGAUUUGGAUUUGGUGGAAAGAAGAUUUGAGUGGAAAGCAACUUGGGGAAGGCUAGAGAUCAAGAUUCAUAUGGUAGGAAUGGAAUAUCUUGGCCUCAACACAUGAGUAGGUGGUUCUCUCUCAGAAAAUGUAUGCUGGAAGUGUAGGUUUGUUCUGAUGGCUCUCUCCACGAAUGAAGAGUGGGCGGAGGGGUAUAUAUAGCCUCCACACAAAAUCUAACCGUUACACACAACUUGCCAAUCUCGGUGGGACCGAAUUGAGAAACUCGGUCGGACCGAUUCAGCAAAUCUAGUGACCGUUAGGAUUUUCGAUGGGACCGACAUGCAACUCAGUAGGAUCGAUAUGGUUAGGGUUAGGGCAUAACGUAAUCUCGGUGAGACCGAUUACUCAAACUCGGUAGGACCGAUUUUGGUAAUAAGCUAACCAGAGAGUUGGUCAGGCAAACUCGGUGAGACCGAUUACACAAACUCGGUGGGACCUAUUUUGGUAAUAAGCUAAGCAGAGAGUUUGCAUUGUAAUCUUGGUAGUACCGAUUGCUCAAACUCGGUGAGACCGAUUUUGGUAAUGGACAUACAUAGAGAGAUUACAAUCCCAUCUCGGUGAGACCGAGAUCACUAUCGGUGAGACCGAUUUGCCUAGGGUUUGUGGCAGUGGCUAUGACAUCUGAACUCGGUGGCGCCGGAUAGAAAGAAUCGGUGGGGCCGAGUUUGACUUUUGGUUUAGGUCAUAUGUGGAUGUGAGAAAGUAGUUGAGGGCUUUGGAGCAUAUCACUAAGCAUUUAGAGCAAGUAAGCCAUUAAGCAACACCUCAUCCCUCCUUGAUAGUAUUGGCUUUUUCUAUUGACUCAAUGUGAUCUUGGAUCACUAAAAUAGAAAAUGUAGAGCCUUGUUCUUGGAGCUUGAGCCAAUCCUUUGUCCUUAGCAUCUUGAAGAGGUUCCACAUCCUUUAGUCCAUGCCACUCCAUUGUUGAACUUGUCUGAAACAUACUAGGUAAAAGUGUUAGUCCAACAAAAGAUAUGUUGACAUUAAUUACCAAAAUCACCCGGGGAGCACUUGUGCUUUCAAUCUCCCCCUUUUUGGUAAUUGAUGACAACAUACAGCAAAGUUUUAGAUAAGGAUAUAGAGAAUAACAAGUAAAGCUUUGGAAAGACAUGUAACAAGCAUAGGCUCCCCCGAUAUGUAUGCAAUCAUGUGAAUAUGGAAUAUAGGAGCAUGUGAGAGCAUAACCAUGAUAGAGUAGGCAAUGUGUUACAUGUAUCUUGGCUAUAUGCAUCAGAGCAAAAGAUGUGAAUAUGGGAAAUGUACCUUCAUGCUCAUGAGUCCUUCUUGCAAAUAGUAUGUACAUCAGCAAGAAUUCCUCCUACGCAUGAUUGUGAUGCAUAUACUUACCUUGUGGUCUUGAGUUGGCUUAGGAUGGAACGAACCUGUGAAAAUAAGGUUAGAUAACACAAAUACACUUGCUGGCCAGAGCAAACAAAAGAAACCACAAGAGUACCAAGACCGGGUUGACAUGUAGAGUGAGUACUAAGUACCACAUUUGAUAUAGACAUGUCCCCAAAGGUAAAGAUGUGCAAUGAAUUUGAAGAACUUCUUUCCCUUAGAUGUCUUGCUCCCCCUGAAUCUAGCAUGGGAUACUGGGAGAAGAUAGGGAACAAAAAAUCAGAGCUCAAAGAAACAAAUGAACAGAGCUAAUGCAAAUAAGCACAUAUGAACAUGUAUUUCCCCUCAAGAAGACAUGUGGCAUCUCUCCUCUUUAACACCAAGCAUCUGGGAUCCUUGAAGAUUACUCUCUCCUUGAGUAUUCUCUCCCCCUAGAGAUAUGAUUAAGCUUUGAUGUGAUCUCUCUCUCCCCCUUUGACAUCAAUUUCCAAGAAGGGUCUUCUGGAAUUUGUCGUGAAUGGGUUUGGUCCUCGAGUCACAGCACAAAGCACUAAGGUAAAUGCGAUGCUUGUAGAGGACAAGAUUCAUUGAGUGGAUCUGGAUCAAAAGUAAUGCAUGAAUAAAUGGCAAAAUGUUUUUCCUGUAGUGAAAUCGGUGGCACUGAGUGGUAUGCUUCGGUUGCACCGAAAGGAUUCGGUUGAACCGAAAGCAUCAAACCGGUGAGACCAAGUUCAUCGCAGAGAAAACACUUGUCACCUCAGCUCACUAGACAAGUAAGAUCUCACAAGGAUUUGCAAGGAAUUCACGGGAAGAUUUGCAAUGAAUUGGAUGUAGGGAAUGCAGAACAAAUAGAAAAGAAAAGAAAUCUAGAUGAAGUUUUUUUGAAAGGGGAAACAAAAAUAUAUAUGAGACAAAUGCAAGAGCACAGAAAAGAGCACAAGAAAACUUCACCUAGAAUUGGUCGGCGACAGAGUCACCUAUGUUAGAGUAUAUUGACUUAGGAGUCAAGUGAGAUCACUUGAUCAUAGGUCAUACUCAUCGUUUAAGCUCAAAAUGGGGUUACCAUUUUUCAUUUAAGCAUCUUGAUUUAUUCACAUCUUGUUGAGUUUCUUUGACUCAUGACUUCGAGUAAAGCUUCUCUAAGAUGGAAUAACAUACCUUGGGUGGUGGUGUUGAUCGUGAUCAUGUAGUUGAACUUGUGUGGGUUGCUCAAGGUUGAUGUAGCUCAUCAAGAGUUGGGAGCACCACUUGGAAUUUGAGUUCAUCUACCUACAUGGGUUAGUUUUUGCAAGUAAGAGCACUUGUGUAUCCAAAAUGACAAUCAUGAAGUUCAAUAAUAAAUUUGUCAAAGGAUAUGUUUGAAUGGUUCCGUGCUUCCUUGUCUUCAACCACAAUUGGGUAGAGACUUGGUGAUGUAGAGAUUGCUCAAGAUGUGAGUGAGUUGCAAUCUCAUAGAUUUAGAUUCAUCCAAGUACCUACAUGGGUUAGAUAACAUGCAAGGUGCAAAUAUAUCCAAGACAUAAGAUUAUCAUCAUAAGAGAAAUGUCAAGGAUUAGUCAUAAGCUCAUGUCUUGCAUGUAUCCAAUGGAGUUCCUACUCCAAGUUCGAGGCAUCAAUGAUGUUCAAUUCACCUCUUAACCUGCAAAACACUUUCUCAUCAAGUGGUUUAGUGAAUAUAUCCGCUAAUUGCUUUUCGGUGCGAACAUGCUUAAGAUUAAUGUCACCCUUAGCAACAUGAUCUCGAAUGAAAUGAUGACGAACUUCAAUAUGCUUAGUUUGAGAGUGUUGCACGGGAUUGUGAGCAAUAUUGAUAGAACUCUCAUUGUCACAAAGUAAUGGAACAUGUUUCACAUAUAUCCCAUAAUCUUUAAGAGUUUGGGUCAUCCAAAGUAAUUGAGCACAACAUGAACCAGCGGCAAUGUAUUCCGCUUCGGCGGUGGAUAAGGAUACCGAGUUUUGUUUCUUGGAAGACCAAGACACAAGAGAUCUACCAAGAAAUUGACAAGUACCCAAAGUGGACUUUCUAUCAACCUUGUCACCGGCAUAAUCUGAGUCGGAGUAGCCAACAAGAUCGAAAGAGGCCCUCUUAGGAUACCAAAUGCCAAAAUUUGGUGUAUGGAUUAAGUAUCUCACUAUCAUUUUCACGACCUUAAGAUGACAUUCUUUAGGAGCAGCUUGAUAUCGUGCACACAUGCACACACUUAGCAUGAUAUCGGGACGUGAAGCACAUAGAUAUAACAAUGAACCAAUCAUAGAGCGAUAAACCUUUUGAUCGACCGGUUCACCAUCUUUGGUCGAGUCAAGAUGUCCACUAGUAGGCAUGAGUGUAGUCAUACCUUUGCAUUCUUACAUAUUGAAUUUUUUGAACAAGUCCUUGGUGUACUUCGUUUGAGAGACAAAGGUUCCCUCCUUAGUUUGCUUGAUUUGCAAACCAAGAAAGAAUUUGAGUUCACUCAUCAUAGACAUCUCAAACUUCUCCGACAUUAGUUUUCCAAACUUUUCACUAAAAUGAGGGUUAGUAGAACCAAAUAUAAUAUCAUCAACAUAGAUUUGGCACACAAAUAGUUCUCCAUUAACCCUUUUAUUAAAAAGAGUAGAACCUAUUUUUCCAAUUUCAAACCCUUUUUCAAUAAGGAACUUGGUCAAGCAUUUAUACCACGCUCUAGGAGCUUAUUUAAGACCAUAAAGAGCUUUGUGAAGUUUGUAAACAUGGUCAUGUUUCUUAGGAUUAACAAAGAUGGGAGGUUGCUUAACAUAAACUUCCUCCUCUAUUUCACCAUUUAGAAAAGCACUUUUAAUGUCCAUUUGGUACAAGGUGAUAUCAUGGUGAUUAGCAUAGGCAAGUAAGAUGCGAAUGGACUCAAGUCUAGCAACGGGAGCAUAAGUGUCACCAUAGUCCAUACCUUCGACUUGUGUGUAGCCUUGGGCGACGAGACGUGCUUUGUUCGAACUACUUGUCCAUCUUCAUCUUCCUUGUUGUGAAACACCCAUUUGGUACCGAUGAUAUUGUGGUUGUUGUCGGGCUUCUCAACCAAUGUCCACACUUGAUUUCUCUGAAAGUUGUGUAGCUCUUAAUGCAUAGCGUUUAUCCAGUUUGGAUCUUCCAAUGCUUCUUCAACCUUCAUAGGUUCAUUGCUAGAGAUGAAUGAAUAGUGUUCACAAAAGUUAGCUAAACGAGUUUUGGAGCGAGUGAUUCUCCCGGUUUGGAUAUCUUUGUAGAUUUGCUCAACGGGGUGAUCUUUAGUAAUUCUUGCUCGAACUCGUGAAAGCUUUUGCUUGGGUCUUGGUUGAACAUCUUCUUCAUCUUCUUCUUCUUCUUGGCCUUCUUCAUUGUUGGCAUUGUCGUUCUCUUGUCGUGGUGGAGAAGGAGGUUGUUGACAUUCGUCUUGGUGCACUUCCUCGUUUUCUUCAUCUCGGUGUGUCCCACUUGUGGAUGCUUCCAUAUCAACUCUUGGUUCACCUUAUCGUGAGGUAGAAGCUUCCACUUGGACGGACGAGGUACUCUCCUUCACCUCCGUUGGAUGAAUCUUGGCAAUGGACAAGUCUUGGAUUGCUUCCAAGGGGUCUUUGUCUCCUACAUCAAUUGGCAAUUGCUCUACUUGCGAGCCGUUAGAUUCAUCAAACUUCACAUCUACCGUUUUUUCAACCUUUCGGGUGAAGUUGUUGUAGACACAAUAUGUGUGAGAGUUUGAGCCAUAACCAAGUAGAAAACCUUCAUGAGACUUAGGAGCAAAUUUAGAACGAUGAUGCUUAUCAAGAAUGUAGCACUUUGAGCCGAAUACUCAAAAGUAUCCAACUUGGGGUUUGUUACCGGUGACGAGCUCGUAUGCCAUCUUGCCGAGUAGCUUGUGAAGAUACAAGCGAUUUGCUGCAUGACAAGCUGUCUCAACCGCUUCCGCCCAAAAGUGCUUCGGCGUCUUGUACUCAUCAAGCAUCAUUCUCGCCAUUUCGAUGAGCGUCCGGUUCUUCCUCUCAACAACUCCAUUUUGUUGAGGUGUGUACAUAGCCGAGAACUCGUGUGAAAUACCUUCUUCGUCAAGAAAGGUAUCCACAUUUGCGUUCUUGAACUCCAUUUCGUUGUCGCUGUGAACCUUCUUGAUCUUCACUUCAAAUUGAUUUUGGGCCUUCCUAGCAAAGUUUUUGAAGAUCUUUUGGACCUGCGAUUUAUCAUCGAGAAAGAACACCCACGUAAAUCUUGAAAAAUCAUCAACUAUAACUAGACCAAAGGAAUUUCCACCGAGACUUUUGUAAGCGUUGGGACCAAAAAGAUCCAUGUGAAGUAGCUCGAGUGGCCUCCUUGUGGUCACGAUGUUCUUCACGGGAUGCCUUCCUCCAACCUGUUUACCUGCUUGACAAGCGCUGCAAAGUCUAUCCUUAUCAAAUAUGACAUUGUUAACUCCAAGGAUAUGAUUUCCUUUAAUAAGUUUGUCAAGGUUUCGCAUGCCAACAUGACCUAAUUGUCUAUGCCAUAACCAACCUUUAGAGGAUUUAGCAAUAAAGCAAGUUCUAGGUUGAGCCUUUUUAGUGAAAUCAACAAUGUAUAGAUCACCUCUACGUAGACCGGUAAAGAUCAUUUUAUGAUUAUCUCUACGAAACACAUGGCAAUCUACUUCAGCAAAUAGGACAUUGAAACCGAAAUCAGCAAGUCUAGAUACUGAAAGUAAGUUGUAGCCAAGAGAUUCAACGAGCAUGACAUUUUGUAUGGAGCUAUCAUGUGAUAUGGCCACCUUACCGAGGCCAACCACCAUACCCUUUGAGUUGUCACCGAAAGUGACAUACUUUCAAGGACCAUCAUUUUCAGCAAGCUCGCGAAACAUAUCUUUAUCUCCGGUCAUGUGAUCGGUACAUCCACUAUCAAGAACCCAUUCCUUUCCUCCUGCCAUAUAUCCCUGAAGAUUUGCCAUAAGACCAAAGUGUCUCAUUGCAUCAUCAAGAUCAAAGUCACUAUCAUCAUCCUCAUCAUAGUAUCCAUGUUCAACAUCGUCAUGUGGUGGAUCAAAUCCUAGAGAGGGUGAUUCAUUAGAGUGAGUUUGACAAUAAUCUUGCUUAUGAAUUUUUAUAGCUUCGGAAAUAAUAUUACUAAUAAUUCCAACAUCUCCUUUGGCAUGCAUAAGGUUUGUAAGCUCAAAUAGACAAUCACCAAACAUAGGAUCACUGGAAUUCAUCUUACUCAAGGCAAUAGACUUAUAGAGAAUUUCAUCAAGAUUUUUCAAGGAAUAAUUUGGAAAACGUUCCUCAAGAAAUUUCCAUAUAGUGUAGGCACACUUAAGAGUAGGCAAACAUCCAAUCAAGUUUCUAGGCAAGCCUCUAGUGGUAAGUUCAACAGUUCUAAGAUUGCGAAUCAUGUCAAUUGACUCAUCAAGAGUAGGAUGCAUAGGAUCAACAUGAGGUGCACAAGGGCUAGCAAUGUACUUGUUCAAAUGAUAUUGACUGAAAAUCACAAGCAUCUCAUUUUUCCACUCAUGAAAGUACUCUCCAUCAACUAUAGGUACUCUAUGUCUAAGACUCCCAAUAGUAGACUCAUCCAUCUUCCUCCAAUGGUGUUUAAACCAACAAUGGAGACCAAAGCUCUGAUACCAAAAGAAAGGAUAGCGAAGAGGUGUCUAGAGGGGGGUGAUUAGACACCAAGUACCAAAAGUUGCAGUUUUUAACUUCUUUAAGUUGGAGUGGAGUUUAGGCACAAGUUUAACAUUCACAAUACAUAUCAAGAAAUCAUGCAAAGAGUAUAUGAGCAGCGGAAAGUAAAGCAUGCAACUUGCAAGAAUGUAAAGGAAAGGGUUUGGAGGAUUCAAACGCAAUUGGAGACACGGAUGUUUUUGUCGUGGUUCCGAUAGGUGGUGCUAUCGUACAUCCACAUUGAUGGAGACUUCAACCCACGAAGGGUAAUGGUUGCGCCAGUCCACAGAGGGCUCCACCCACGAAGGGUCCAUGAAGAAGCAACCUUGUCUAACCCACCAUGGCCGUCGCCCACGAAGGACUUGCCUCACUACCGGUAGAUCUUCAUGAAGUAGGCGAUCUCCUUGCCCUUAUAAACUCCUUGGUUCAACUCCACAAUCUUGUCGGAGGCUCCCAAGUGACACCUAGCCAAUCUAAGAGAUAUACCACUCUCCAAGAAGAAACAAAUGGUGUAUUAAUGAUGAACUCCUUGCUCUUGUGCUUCAAAUGAUAGUCUCCCCAACACUCAACUCUUUCUCACAGGAUUUGGAUUUGGUGGAAAGAAGAUUUGAGUGGAAAGCAACUUGGGGAGGGCUAGAGAUCAAGAUUCAUAUGGUAGGAAUGGAAUAUCUUGGCCUCAACACAUGAGUAGGUGGUUCUCUCUCAGAAAAUGUAUGCUGGAAGUGUAGGUUCGUUCUGAUGGCUCUCUCCACGAAUGAAGAGUGGGUGGAGGGGUAUAUAUAGCCUCCACACAAAAUCUAACUAUUACACACAACUUGCCAAUCUCGGUGGGACCGAAUUGAGAAACUCGGUCGGACCGAUUCAGCAAAUCUAGUGACUGUUAGGAUUUUCGAUGGGACCGACAUGCAACUCGGUAGGACCGAUAUGGUUAGGGUUAGGGCAUAAUGUAAUCUCGGUGAGACCGAUUACUCAAACUCGGUAGGACCGAUAUUGGUAAUAAGCUAACCAGAGAGUUGGUCAGGCAAACUCGGUGAGACCGAUUACACAAACUCGGUGGGACCGAUUUUGGUAAUAAGCUAACCAGAGAGUUUGCAUUGUAAUCUCGGUAGUACGGAUUGCUCAAACUCGGUGAGACCGAUUUUGGUAAUGGACAUACACAGAGAGAUUGCAAUCCCAUCUCGGUGAGACCGAGAUCCCUAUCGGUGACACCGAUUUGCCUAGGGUUUGUGGCAGUGGCUAUGACAUCUGAACUCGGUGGCGCCGGAUAGAAAGAAUCGGUGGGGCCGAGUUUGACUUUUGGUUUAUUUCAUAUGUGGAUGUGAGAAAGUAGUUGAGGGCUUUGGAGCAUAUCACUAAGCAUUUAGAGCAAGUAAGCCAUUAAGCAACACCUCAUCCCUCCUUGAUAGUAUUGGCUUUUCCUAUAGACUCAAUGUGAUCUUGGAUCACUAAAAUAGAAAAUGUAGAGCCUUGUUCUUGGAGCUUGAGCCAAUCCUUUGUCCUUAGCAUCUUGAAGAGGUUCCACAUCCUUUAGUCCAUGCCACUCCAUUAUUGAACUUGUCUGAAACAUACUAGGUAAAAGUGUUAGUCCAACAAGAGAUAUGUUGACAUUAAUUACCAAAAUCACCCAGGGAUCACUUGUGCUUUCAAUACCCAACUUGGAUGCUCAUCAUUCUAGGACCAAAUUUGUAACCAUAGCAAAUACCAUGCUGUUCUAAAAGACUCUCAAAAAGAUAUAAGUGAAGCAUGAGAGACUAGCAAUUUCUUAAAAAUUAAUCCACUGCCGUGCUCUAAAAGAUAUAAGUGAAGCACUAGAGCAAAAACUAUCAAGCUCAAAAGAUAUAAGUGAAGCACAUAGAGUAUUCUAGCAAAUUCUAAUAAAGUGGGCUUCUCCCAAAAGGUGUGUACAGCAGGGAUGAUUGUGGUAAACUAAAAAGCAAAGACUAAUAUAAUAUACAACGCUCCAAGCAAAACACAUAUCAUGUGGCGAACAAAAAUAUAGCUCCAAGUAAAGUUACCAAUAAAGGAAGACGAAAGAGGGGAUGCCUUCCCGGGGCAUCCCCAAGCUUAGGAUUUUGGCUAUCCUUAAAUAUCUUGGGGUGCCAUGGGCAUCCCCAAGCUUAGGCUCUUGCCACUCCUUAUUCCAUAGUCCAUCAAAGCUCUACCCAAAACUUGAAAACUUCACAACACAAAACUCAACAGGAAAUCUUAUAAGCUCCGUUAGUGAAAGAAAACAAAACCACCACAUAAGGUACUAUAAUGAAAUCAUUCUUUAUUUAUUUUGGUUUUAAAGCUACUGUAUUCCAACUUCUCUAUGGUUUAUAAACUAUUUUACUAGCCAUAGAUGCAUCAAAAUAAGCAAACAACACAGGAAAAACAGAAUCUGUCAAAAACAGAACAGUCUGUAGAAAUUUGUAACUAACACAAACUUCUGGAGCUCUAAAAAUCCUACCAAAAUAGGAAGUCCUGGAAAAUUUAUCUAUUGAUCAGCGUCAAAAAGAAUCAAUGCAAAAUCAUGUUUCUGUGAUUUAACAAAACUAAAAUAGUGCGUGCAAAGUUUCUGUUUUUCAGCAGAAUCAAAUCAACUAUCAUCAUAUAGGUUAUCCUAUAGGUUCUACUUGGCACAAACACUAAUUAAAAGAUAAAAACACAUCUAAACAGAAGGUAGAUGCAAAAUUUAUUACUAAACAGGAACAAAAACAAAAAACACAAAGAAAAUUGGGUUGCCCCCCUACUAGCGCUAUCAUUUAACGCCCCUAGCUAGGCAUAAAAGCGAAGAUAGAUCUAAGUAGUGCCAUCUUUGGCACUCAUAUUUUUAAUAGAGUUAUGCUCAAGUCCGGGAGACUCUAUGCGUUUCCCUUCAUGCUCAGAGAUCCUUUGAUCUAAGGCAUCCAACUGCUUAUUGUAAAGUGUGAUCAAAUUAUUCAUGCGAUUGGUACUCCCAACAAUAUUCUUAAAAGGCUCAACAAGUUUUUGCAAUUCAAGUAAUUUCUCUAAAAUUUUGGCUCCUUCAAGAGAGAAGGGCGAUCCGUUUUGUCAGGGGAGUACUCCUACUAUUCCCUCUAUAAUUUCAUAAGUAGAACUCGGAUCAAUUUCAAUAAACUCUCCUUUUGCGGCACAAUCAAGGAGUUGUUUGUGGGGUAAGGUUAACCCAACAUAAAAAUUGCGAAUUAAAAUCUUGAAAUCUCCUUCUAAAUCGCAACUACGAUAAGAUUCUAACAUCCUAAACCAAGCAUCUUUUAAAUUUUCUCCUUGUCUUUGCUUGAAGUGGAGAACUUCAAAAUCGGGAGACAAAAGGAUAAAGACUGAGCUAGCCAUAAUGACAAGGUAAACGAACCAACACACGAGCAACAGAAAAAGGCAAGCGAAAGAGAGAGGAGGAGAUUGGGAAAGAGAGGGCGAAUAAAACGGGAAGGGUGAAGUGGGGGAGAGGAAAACGAGAGGCAAAUGGCAAAUAAUGUAAAUGCAAGGGAGAUGGGUUUGUGAUGGGUACUUGGUAUGUCUUGACUUGAGCGAAGACCUCCCCGGCAACGGAGCCAGAAAUCCUUCUUGCUACGUCUUGAGCUUGCGUUGGUUUUCCUUGAAGAGGAAAGGGUGAUGCAACAAUAGUAGCUUAAGUAUUUCCCUCAGUUUUUGAGAAAGGUAUGAAUCCAGUAGGAGGCUCCUCAAAAGUCCCACGCACCUACACAAACAAACAAAGAACUUGCAACCAACACAAUAAAGGGGUUGUCAAUCCCUUCACGGCCACUUGCGAAAGUGAGAUCUGAUAGAGAUAAUAUGAUAAGAUAAAUAUAUUUUUGGUGUUUUAUAAUAUAGAUGCAAAAAUUAAAGAUGCAAAUAAAAGUAGAUUGAAAGCUUAUAUGAUAAAAGAUAGACCUGGGGUCCAUAGGUUUCACUAGUGGCUUCUCUCAAGAUAGCAUAAGUAUUACGGUGGGUGAACAAAUUACUAUCGAGCAAUUGAUAGAAAAGCGAAUAAUUAUGAGAUUAUCUAGGCAUGAUCAUGUAUAUAGGCAUCACGUCCGCAACAAGUAGACCGACUCCUUCCUGCAUCUACCACUAUUACUCCACACAUCGACCUACUCCUGCGUGCAUCUAGAGUAUUAAGUCCAUAAAGAACAGAGUAACGCAUUAAGCAAGAUGACAUGAUGUAGAGGGAUAAACUCAUGCAAUAUGAUAUAAAUCCCAUCUUUUUAUCCUCGAUGGCAACAAUACAAUACAUGCCUUGCAACCCUUUCUAUCAUUGGGUAAGGACACCGCAAGAUUUAACCCAAAGCUAAGCACUUCUCCCAUGGCAAGAAAGAUCGAUCUAGUAGGCCAAACCAAACUGAUAAUUCGAAGAGACUUGCAAAGAUAACUCAAUCAUACAUAAAAGAAUUCAGAGGAGAUUCAAAUACUUCUCAUAGAUAAACUUGAUCAUAAACCCACAAUUCAUCGGAUCUCGACAAACACACCGCAAAAAGAGUUUACAUCGAAUAGUUCUCCACAAGAGAGAGGGAGAACAUUGUAUUGAGAUCCAAAAAGAGAGAAGAAGCCAUCUAGCUAAUAACUAUGGACCCGAAGGUCUAUGGUAAACUACUCACAACUCAUCGGAGAGGCUAUGGUGUUGAUGUAGAAGCCCUCCAUGGUCGAUUCCCCCUCCGGCGGAGUGCCGACGAAGGCUCCAAGAUGGGAUCUCACGGAUACAGAAGGUUACGGUGGUGGAAAUUGUGUUUCGUUGGCUCCCUGGAUGUUUUCGGGGUACGUAGGCUUAUAUAGGAGGAAGAAGUACGUCGGUGGCCGCCCGAGGGGCCCACGAGAUAGGGGGGUGCGCCCAGAGGGGGUGGGCGUGCCCUCCUGUCUCGUGGCCGCCUCGGCUGCUUCUUGACUUGCACUCCAAGUCCUCUGGAUCACGUUCGUUCCAAAAAUCACGCUCCAGAAGGUUUCAUUUCGUUUGGACUCCAUUUGAUAUUCCUUUUCUUCGAAAUACUGAAAUAGGCAAAAAACAGCAAUACGGGCUGGGCCUCUGGUUAGUAGGUUAGUCCCAAAAAUGAUAUAAAUGUGUAAAAUAAAGCCCAUAAACAUCUGAAAGGGGUAAUAUAAUAGCAUGGAAUAAUAAAAAAUUAUAGAUACGUUGGAGAUGUAUCAUCGAGCUUUGUAGAUAAUGACAUUACCAUCAGCAUAUGUCUUCUUCUUGAAGAUCCAUUUAUUCUCAAUGGCUUGCCGAUCAUCGGGCAAGUCCACCAAAGUCCAUACUUUGUUCUCAUAAAGAUUAGUAAGAUCUCACAAAGAUUUGCAAGGAAUUUUCUGAAUGAUAUGCAAUGAAUUGGAUGCAGAAAAUGCAGAGCAAACAGAAAGAAAUCUAGAUGAAGUUUUUUUUGAAAGGGGAAACGAAUAUGCAUGAGACAAAUGCAAAAACACAGAAAAGAACACAAGAGAACUUCAUCUAGAGAUUGUCAGCGACAAAGUCACCUAUGUUAGAGUAUAUUGACUUAGGAGUCAAGUGAGAUCACUUGAUCAUAGGUCAUACUCAUCGUUUAAGCUCAAAACGGGGUUGCCAUUUUUCGUUUAAGCAUCUUGAUGUAUUCACAUCUUGUCGAGUUGCUUUAGCUCAUGACUUGGAGUAAAGCUUCUCUAAGAUGUAAUAACAUACCUUGGUUGGUGGUGUUGAACAUGUAGUUGAACUUGUGUGGGUUGCUCAAGGUUGAUGUAGCUCAUCAAGAAUUGGGAGCACCACUUGGAAUUUGAGUCCAUCUACCUACAUGGGUUAGUUUUUGCAAGUAAGAGCACUUGUGUAUCCAAAAUGACAAUCAUGAAGUUCAAUAGUAAAUUUGUCAAAGGAUAUGUUUGAAUGGUUCCGUGCUUCCUUGUCUUCAACCACCAUUGGGUAGAGACUUGGUGAUGUAGAGAUUGCUCAAGAUGUGAGUAGAUUACAAUCUCAGGGAAUUUGAUUCAACCAAGUACCUACAUGGGUUAUAUAACAUGCAAGAUGCAAAUAUAUCCAAGACAUAAGAUCUUCAUCAUAAGAGAAAUAUCAAGGAUUAGUCAUAAGCUCAUGUCUUGCAUGUGUCCAAUGGAGUUUCUACUCCAAGUUUGAAGCAUCUAUCAUGUUCAAUUCUCCUCUCAACCCGCAAAACACUUUCUCAUCAAGAGGUUUAGUUAAUAUAUCCGUUAAUUGCUUUUCGAUGCGAACAUGCUUAAGAUUAAUGUCACCCUUAGCAACAUGAUCUCGAAUGAAAUGAUGACGAACUUCAAUAUGCUUAGUUUGAGAAUGUUGUACGGGAUUAUGACCAAUUUUGAUAGCACUUUCAUUGUCACAAAGCAAUGGAAAAUGUUUCACAUAUAUCCCAUAAUCUUUAAGAGUUUGGGUCAUCCAAAGUAAUUGAGCACAACAUGAACCAACGGCAAUGUUUUCCGCUUCAGCGGUGGAUAAGGAUACCGAGUUUUGUUUCUUGGAGGACCAAGACACAAGAGAUCUACCAAGAAAUUGACAAGUACCUGAAGUGGACUUUCUAUCAACCUUGUCUCUGGCAUAGUCCGAGUCGGAGUAGCCAACAAGAUCGAAAGAGGCCCUCUUAGGAUACCAAAUGCCAAAAUUUGGUGUAUGGAUUAAGUAUCUCACUAUCCUUUUCACGACCUUAAGAUGACAUUCUUUAGGAGCAGCUUGAUAUCGUGCACACAUGCACACACUUAGCAUGAUAUCGGGACGUGAAGCACAUAGAUAUAACAAUGAACCAAUCAUAGAGCGAUAAACCUUUUGAUCAACCAGUUCACCAUCUUUGGUCAAGUCAAGAUGUCCACUAGUAGGCAUGGGUGUAGUCAUACCUUUGCAUUCUUGCAUAUUGAACUUCUUGAAUAGGUCCUUGGUGUACUUCGUUUGAGAAACCAAAGUACCUUCCUUAGUUUGCUUGAUUUGCAACCCAAGAAAGAAUUUGAGUUCACUCAUCAUAGACAUCUCAAACUUCUCCGACAUUCUUCCCAAACUUUUCACUAAAAUGAGGGUUAGUGGAACCAAAUAUAAUAUCAUCAACAUAGAUUUGGCACACAAAUAGUUCUCCAUUGACCCUUUUAGUAAAAAUAGUAGAAUCUAUUUUUCCAAUUUCAAAGCCUUUUUCAAUAAGGAACUUGGUCAAGCAUUUAUACCACGCUCUAGGAGCUUGUUUAAGACCAUAAAGGGCUUUGUGAAGUUUGUAAACAUGAUUUGGUUUCUUAGGAUUGACAAAGCUAGGAGGUUGCUUAACAUAAACUUCCUCCUCUAUUUCACCAUUUAGAAAAGCACUUUUAAUGUCCAUUUGGUACAAGGUGAUAUCAUGGUGAUUAGCAUAGGCAAGUAAGAUGCGAAUGGACUCAAGUCUAGCAACGGGGGCGUAAGUCUCACCAUAGUCCAUACCUUCGACUUGUGUGUAGCCUUGGGCGACGAGACGUGCUUUGUUGCGAACUACUUGUCCAUCUUCAUCUUGCUUGUUGCGAAACACCCAUUUGAUACCGAUGAUGUUGUGGUUGUUGUCGGGCUUCUCAACCAAUGUCCAAACUUAGUUCCUCUAAAAGUUGUGUAGCUCUUCAUGCAUAGCAUUUAUCCAAUCCAGAUCUUCCAAUGCUUCUUCGACCUUCAUAGGUUCAAUGCUAGAGAUGAAAGAAUAGUUUUCACAAAAGUUAGCUAAACGAGUUUUAGAGCGAGUGAUUCUCCCGGUUUGAAUAUCAUUGUAGAUUUGCUCGACGGGAUGGUCUUUAGCAAUUCUUGCUCAAACUCGUGAAAGCUUUUGCUUGGUUCUUGGUUGAACUUCUUCUUCAUCUUGUUCUUCUUCUUGGCCUUGUUCAUUGUUGGCGUUGUCGUUCUCUUGUCGUGGUGGAGAAGGAGGUUGUUGACGUUCAUCUUGAUGCACUUCCUCAUUUUCUUCAUCUUGGUGUGUCCCACUUGUGGAUGCUUCCGUAUCAACUCUUGGUUCACCUUGUCGUGAAGUAGAAGCUUCCACUUGGAUGAACGAGGUACUCUCCUUCACCUCCGUUGGACGGACCUUGCCAAUAGACAAGUCUUGGAUUGCUUUUGAAGGAUCUUUGUCUCCUACAUCAGUUGGCAAUUGCUCUACUUGCGAGCCGUUAGAUUCAUCAAACUUCACAUAUACCGUCUCUUCAACCUUUCGGGUGAAAUUGUUGUAGACACGGUAAGUGUGAGAGUUUGAGCCAUAACCUAGUAGGAAACCUUCAUGAGACUUAGGAGCAAAUUUAGAACAACGAUGCUUAUCAAGAAUGUAGCACUUUGAGCCGAAUACUCGAAAGUAUCCAACUUGAGGUUUGUUACCGGUGAGGAGCUCGUAUGCCGUCUUGCCGAGUAGCUUGUGAAGAUACAAGCGAUUUGUUGCAUGACAAGCUGUCUCAACCGCUUCUGCCCAAAAGUGCUUCGGUGUCUUGUACUCAUCAAGCAUCGUUCUCGCCAUUUUGAUGAGCGUCCGGUUCUUCCUCUCAACAACUCCAUUUUGUUGAGGUGUGUACGUAGCCGAGAACUCGUGUGAAAUCCCUUCUUCGUCAAGAAAGGUGUCCACAUUUGCGUUCUUGAACUCCAUUCCGUUGUCGCUGCGAACCUUCUUGAUAUUCACUUCAAACUGAUUUUGAGCCUUCCUGGCAAAGUUUUUGAAGAUCUUUUGGACUUGCGAUUUAUCAUCGAGAAAGAACACCCACGUAAAUCUUGAAAAAUCAUCAACUAUAACUAGACCAAAAGAAUUUCCACCGAGACUCUUGUAAGUGUUGGGACCAAAAAGAUCCAUGUGAAAUAGCUCAAGUGGCCUCCUUGUGGUCAUGAUGUUUUUCAUGGGAUGCCUUCCUCCAACCUGUUUACCUUCUUGACAAGCACUGCAAAGUCUAUCCUUAUCAAAUAUGACAUCGUUAACACCAAGGAUAUGAUUCCCUUUAAUAAGCUUGUCAAGGUUUCUCACGCCAACGUGACCUAGUCGUCUAUGCCAUAACCAACCUUUUGAGGAUUUAGCAAUGAUGCAAGUUUUAGGUUGAGCCUUUUUAGAGAAAUCAAUAAUGUAAAGAUCACCUCUACAUAUACCGGUAAAGACCAUUUUAUGAUUGUCUUGACGAAACACUUGGCAAUCUACUUCAGUAAAUAGGACAUUGAAACCGAAAUCAGCAAGUCUAGAUACUGAAAGUAAGUUGUAGCCAAGAGAUUCAACGAGCAUAACAUUAUGAAUGGAGCUAUCAUGUGAGAUGGCCACCUUACCGAGGCCAACCACCUUACCCUUUGAGUUGUCACCGAAAGUGACAUACUUUCGAGGACUAUCAUUUUCAGCAAGCUCACGAAACAUGUCUUUAUCUCCGGUCAUGUGAUCGGUACAUCCACUGUCAAGAACCCAUUCCUUUCCUCCUGACAUAUAUCCCCGAAGAUUUGCCAUAAGACCAAAAUGUCUCAUUGCAUCAUCAAGAUCGAAGUCACUAUCAUCAUCCUCAUCAUAGUAUCCAUGUUCAACAUCGUCAUGUGGUGGAUCAAGUCCUAGAGAGGGUAAUUCGUUAGAGUGAGUUUGACAAUGAUCUUGCUUAUGAAUUCUUAUAGCUUCGGAAAUAAUAUCACCAAUAAUUCCAACAUCUCCUUUGGCACGCAUAAGGUUUGUAAGUUCAAAUAGACGAUCACCAAACAUAGGAUCACCAGUAUUCAUCUUACUCAAGGCAAUAGACUUAUGGAGAAUUUCAUCUAGAUUUUUCAAGGAAUAAUUUGGAAAGCGUUCCUCAAGAAAUUUCCAUAUAGUGUAGGCACACUCAAGAGUAGGCAAGUUUCUAAUUAAGUUUCUAGGCAAGCCUCUAGUGAUAAGAUUAACAGUUCUAAGAUUCCUAAUCAUGUCAAUUGACUCAUCAAGAGUAGGAUGCAUAGGAUCAACAGGAGGUGCACAAGGGCUAGCAAUGUACUUGUUCAAAUGAUAUUGAUUGAAAAUUACAAGCAUCUCAUUUUUCCACUCAUGAAAAUACUCUCCACCAAGUAUAGGCACUCUAUGUCUAAGACUCCCCAAAGUAGACUCAUCCAUCUUCCUCCAAUGGUGAUUAAACCAAGGCAAUGGAGACCAAUGCUCUGAUACCACUUGUAGGACCUUGAGAUGAGGUGUCUAGAGGGGGGGGGGUGAUUAGACACUAAGUAUCAAAGUUGCAGUUUUUAACUUCUUUAAGUUUAAGUGGAGUUUAGGCACAAGUUUAACAUUCACAAUACAUAACAAGCAAGCAUGCAAAGAGUAUAUGAGCAGCGGAAAGUAAAGCAUGCGACUUGCAAGAAUGUAAAGGGAAGGGUUUUGGAGGAUUCAAACGCAAUUGGAGACACGAAUGUUUUUGUCGUGGUUCCUAUAGGUGGUGCUAUCGUACAUCCAUGUUGAUGGAGACUUCAACCCACGAAAGGUAACGGUUGCGCGAGUCCACGGAGGGCUCCACCCAUGAAGGGUCCACUAAGAAGAAACCUUGUCUAUCCCACCAUGGCCAUCGCCCACGAAGGACUUGCCUCACUAGCGGCAGAUCUUCAUGAAGUAGGCAUUCUCCUUGCCCUUACAAACUCCUUGGUUCAACUCCACAAUCUUGUCGGAGGCUCCCAAGUGACACCUAGCCAAUCUAGAAGACACCACUCUCCAAGAAGUAACAAAUGGUGCGUUGAUGAUGAACUCCUUGCUCUUGUGCUUCAAAUGAUAGUCUCCCCAACACUCAACUCUCUCUCAUAGGAUUUGGAUCUGGUGGAAAGAAGAUUUGAGUGGAAAGCAACUUGGGGAAGGCUAGAGAUCAAGAUUCAUAUGGUAGGAAUGGAAUAUCUUGGCCUCAACACAUGAGUAGGUGGUUCUCUCUCAGAACUGUUAAGUUGGAAGUGUAGGUUUGUUCUGAUGGCUCUCUCCACGAAUGAAGAGGAGGUGGAGGGGUAUAUAUAGCCUCCACACAAAAUCUAACCGUUACACACAAUUUACCAAACUCGGUGGGACCGAAUCAACAAACUCGAUCGGACCGAUUUAGUAAAUCUAGUGACUGUUAGGGUUUUCGGUGGGACCGACAUGCAACUCGGUAGGACCGAUAUGGUUAUGGUUAGGGCACAACGUAAUCUCGGUGAGACCGAUUACACAAACUCGGUGAGACCGAUUUUGGUGAUUAGCUAACGAGAGGGUUGGUCAGGCAAACUCGGUGGGACCGAUUACUCAAACUCGGUGGGACCGAUUUUGGUAAUAAGUUAACUAGAGAGUUUGCAUUGUAAUCUCGGUAGUACUGAUUGCUCAAACUCGGUGAGACCGAUUUUGGUAAUGGACAUACACAGAGAGAUUACAAUCCCAUCUCGGUGAGACCAAGAUCCCUAUCGGUAAGACCGAUUUGUCUAGGGUUUGUGGCAGUGGCUAAGACAUUUGAACUCGGUGGCGCCGGAUAGAAAGAAUCGGUGGAGCCGAGUUUGACUUUACGUUUAGGUCAUAUGUGUGGAAGUGGGAAAGUAGUUGAGGGUUUUGGAGCAUAUCACUAAGCACUAUGGAGCAAGAAACUCAUUAAGCAACACCUCAUCCCUUCUUGAUAGUAUUGGCUUUUCCUAUAGACUCAAUGUGAUCUUGGAUUACUAAAAUGUAAAAUGAAGAGUCUUGAGAUUGAAGCUUGGCCAAUCCUUUGUCCUUAGCAUCUUGAAGGAGUUCCCACAUCUUUUAGUCCAUGCCACUCCAUUGUUGAACUUAUCUAAAACAUACUAGAUAAAAGUGUUAGUCCAACAAGAGAUAUGUUGACAUUAAUUACCAAAACCACCUAGGGAGCACUUGUGCUUUCACCAUGUUUGGCGCCCACCGUGUCAGAAUGGGCUUAGAGGCGGUCGUGUCACGUCUAAUUGAAGUUACUAACCUACCCCUAUUGAGAGCAGUGGAAAUCGAGCCGAUGGAUUGUCCGUGUAAGGGGGUAGACAAUAUUUCCAUCUCCCAAACACUGGCUUCGGGCAGCGGACAUGGGAGUGGCCAUUUUGCCGCUUCUUUCGAAUUUUGGGACAAUAAGCAUCCAUGUUUACCCUGGCAACUAAACUCGAAUCCAUUUUGUAUUCCUAUACGAAACUUUAUAAAUCAUUCUAUGUGUUUUUAUAUAUCUUCAAAAGCACGACAAAGAUAUAUUCCACUGUCAUAUAUGAAUAUGAUUUACAAAUGCCGAUACUCGAAUUUAGAAGCUAGAAUCCAGUUUAAGGUGAAUUCAAAUAUUUGAAACCACUUUAUGUCCAACUCAAGUGUCACACGUAGCAUAAUGUGUACUCCUAUUUAGAUAUAUACACAAGCAAUGUCUCAAAAUACCAAGUCAAUCAACCAAUAAUGUACAAAACUAACAGACAUAUAAACACUUAUAGUGUAUAUGGAUCAAUAACAUCAACUAACAUACAUAAGCCAGGCUGCUGUACUUUUGUUUGCUAGAAGAGCAUCCUUUUUUAGCGAAGCUAGUACAACAUCUUGGGAUUUUCAUAUGCGUGCCACUUAAGGACCAUCUAUACUACUAUUAUUAAUGAAUGCACAUUCAGCCGAUUGGCAUAUUUUUUGGUCUGGCACAACAAUCAAAAGGAAAUGUCUCAUAGUCUUAUCAACUAAUACAGACUUGUGCUAACAAAAAUUACAACCCAAAAAACAAAAAAAAAUAUAACAUGAUCUCUAAAACAAAUGGUUUGGUCGAUUACAUGAACAAACAACACAAAGGUUAUUCAACGAUGGAAAGAACAUUUCACCUAUGAUUUACCAAGUGGGAAUUUAAUUUCCUUUUUUUCCUUCAGGACUUUAACAAUGCGGUCAGUCUCAACUUGCUUCAUUUUGAAAUCCACCAAAUAUUUAAUGGUUGUCUUGAGUAAAAAGUACUAUUUGUGAUUGUGCUAUUUGCUUCCUCAACAUGUCAAUUUCAUCUCUAAGUGCAGAAGCAUAAUAUCUUUCUACCAAUAGUUUAGCCUCUAGAGCAUCAGCAGUUGGCAAUUCAUGAUGCACGAUUGGGCCGAUGCCACUGCUGUGGGAUGAUACACCAUCCAUGGGGACCUCGCUCUUUGAUCUUGGGCUAACCUGUUUUGUCAUUAAAGUUCCGAUUGGAUUCCAAAAGGUUGAAGUUAGCAAAACAUCUCAACUGGGAGUUAUAGCAACAAACCAGUUAAACAAACAAGGAAUUAAAGAGUUUCAAUUGGAUGCUGAAAAGUAGUUAUUGACAUCAUUGUAACCGUUUGCAACAGCAAAGCAGUUAAACAAACAAGUUUUGCAAAAGGUGCAUGUUGUGGCAUUGGAGUUUCUCUUGGAUCCUGAAAAGUUGAGUAGCUAGUUAUGUGAUUAGAGCAAUGGGUUGUAGCAGCGAAGCAGUUAAACAAAGAAGUUUUGCAAAAGGAACCUGUUGUGGCAUUGGAGUUUCUUUUGGAUCCUGAAAAGUUGAGUAGUCAGUAACUUGAUUCGAGCAACAAGUUACAACAGCAAACCCGUUACACAAAUAUUUUUUUGAAAAUAUAGCUACUGUGCAAUUGGACUUCCAAUUGGGUCCUGAAAACUGGAAGUUGGUAAGAUGAUAACAACAACAAGUUACAGCAGCAAACCAGGUAAACAAGGAAGUUUAUGAAAACAUACCUGUUGUCCCAAUGGAGUUUCAGUUGGAUCCUGCAAACUUGAAUGUUAGCAAUCAUAAAUAAAGUGUUGCAAGAGCCAUAAGAAACUAACAUCAAACUAGUAAAACUAACCAGUUUUGGCAAAGUAUUUAAUUACACAUGAACUAGUAAAACUAACAAGUUCUUGGCAAUGUAUUAAAGUAACAAGUCGGUAUCGUUUACCAGCAACACAAACAUAUGUAAAUUUCUUUGAUGUAAGCAAAAUGAUUCCAACACACACACACACACACACACACACACACACACAUAUAUAUAUAUAUGCAUAUAUAUAUAUAUAUGUAAGUUAAAAAGAUGGUGUCCUUCAUAUAAACCUGACAGUUGUCUAUCUGUAAACAUGCAAACAUUACUAGUGCUACAAGUGAUAACAACAAACCAUUUAAACAAAUAGGGUAUCAGAACGUAAAUUACACGUGAAUUCUGUUGCACCCUAGAAGUACAUAUGACUAGCUAUCUAUGUGCUUAAAUAGAUAUUUAACUUCAGACAAACAUGUAAUUCUUAACAGUAAGUAUCAAACACAUAGAUAGGCGCAGUCUAUAAUAGGAUUAACAAGCUAUGGCAUUAUGUAAUUAGUAGCAAACUAAAUUAAGCCAAGCAACGUAACUGAACAAUUUUGCAAUAAGUGGCUAACUAAAAUUCCGAAAAGCACAUAACUGAACUUACGCUAGCUCUUUGUACAGGCAAACUGCAACUUCUUUUUUGCUUACAAGGUUCUACGAAGGAUUCCGUGUCAUCAAUUGCUUGGAUACACAGUCCCAAUACUUCUUUCUUUCCACAUCGCAUUAAUUGGUAAGUCGAGUGGUUAAUCUGAUAAGAUGGUGCAUCCUUGAUAUGUUAUAUGAGGAUGGGUUGUCAGACUAGUUGUAGCCACACACAUCACACUGGCUUUUACAGUAUAUUUCAUGCGAUUACAUUUGGCAGAUCGAGAUCUAAGCAAACUACAAUAGGAUGAAAAUACCGGCAUCCUUCACAUUAUUGGCGAACUCAGUUCAUAGAAACAAGCAAUUCAACCAUUCUAUGGGUAAAUCAAAAGCGCUACUGGAAUAUUUUUCACUGCCCCAAUCAUACACGCAAAAAGGGGUGAUGCCACAGUAGGGGCUGGUUGAUGUCUACUACACAACCUUCUUCUUGUAGACGUUGUUGGGCCUCUAGGUGUAGAGGUUUGUAGGACAAUAGCAAACUUCCCUCAAGUGGAUGACCUAAGGUUUAUCAAUCCGUGGGAGGCAUAGGAUGAAGAUGGUCUCUCUCAAAAACCCUGCAACCAAAUAACAAAGAGUCUCUUGUGUCCCCAACACACCCAAUACAAUGGUAAAUUGUAUAGGUGCACUAGUUUGGCGAAGAGAUGGUGAUACAGGUGCAAUAUGGAUGGUAGAUAUAGGUUUUUGUAAUCUGAAAUUGUAAAAACAGCAAGGUAGCAAGUGGUAAAAAUGAGCGAAAAUGUUAUUGCAAUGCUUCGAAACAAGGCCUGGGGUUCAUACUUUCACUAGUGCAAGUUCUCUCAACAAUGAUAACAUAAUUAGAUCAUAUAACAAUCCCUCAACGUGCAACAAAGAGUCACUCCAAAGUCACUAAUAGCGGAGAACAAACGAAGAGUUUAUUGUAGGGUACGAAACCACCUCAAAGUUAUUCUUCCGGAUCAAUCCAUUGGGAUAUUCCUAUAAGUGUAACAAACAACCCUAGAGUUUGUAGUAAAAUAACACCUUAAGACACACAUCAACCAAAACCCUAAUGUCACCUAGAUACUCCAAUGUCACCACAAGUAUCCGCGGGUAUGACUAUACGAUAUGCAUCACACAAUCUCAGAUUCAUCAAUUCAAACCAACACAAAGAACUUCAUAGAGUGCCCCAAAGUUUCUACCGGAGAGUCAAGACGAAAACGUGUGCCAACCCCUAUGCAUAGAUUCCCAAGGUCACGAAACUCGCAAGUUGAUCACCAAAACAUAUAUCAAGUGGAUCAAUAGAACACCCCAUUGUCACGACGGGUAUCCCACACAAGACAUACAUCAAGUGUUCUCAAAUCCUUAAAGACUCAAUCCAAUAAGAUAACUUCAAAGGGAAAACUCAAUUCAUCACAAGAAGGUAGAGGGGGAGAAACAUCAUAAGAUCCAACUAUAGUAGCAAAGCUCGCAAUACAUCAAGAUCGUGCCAUAUCAAGAACACGAGAGAGAGAGAGAUAGAUAGAUCAAACACAUAGCUACUGGUACAUACCCUCAGCCCCGAGGGUGAACUACUCCCUCCUCGUCAUGGAGAACGCCGGGAUGAUGAAGAUGGCCACCGAUGUUGGAUCCCCCCUCCGGCAGGGUGCUGAAAUAGGGCCUCGAUUGGUUUUUGGUGGCUACAGAGGCUUGCGGUGACGGAACUACCGAUCUAGGUUCUGUUCUGGAAGUUUGGGGAUAUAUAAGAGGUGUUGGCGUCGGGAGCAAGUCAGGGGGUCCCCGAGUCAGCUACGAGGUAGGGGGCGCGCCUAGACGCCACCCUCGUGGUGGCCUCGGGACUCUUCUGGUCCAUCUCCGAUGCUCCGUGUGCUUCUUCUGGUCCAAAAAUAAUCUCCGUAAAUUUUCAGGUCAAUUAGACUCCGUUUGGUAUUCCUUUUGUGUAAAACUCAAAAACAAGGAAAAACAGAAACUGGCACUGGGCUCUAGGUUAAUAGGUUAGUCCCAAAAAUCAUAUAAAAUAGCAUAUAAAUGCAUACAAAACAUCCAAGAUGGAUAAUAUAAUAGCAUGAAGACUUCAUAAAUUAUAUAUAUGUUGGAGACGUAUCAGCACCCCCAAGCUUAAUUCCUGCUCGUCCUCGAGUAGGUAAAUGAUAAAAGAAUUAAUUUAUGAAGUGUGAAUGCUAGCAAGUGCACAAGUUUGAUCAACGAUGAUUUCAAUCACUUUUUCUGGCAUCAUUAUAUAUCAUAACAAUAGCUCAUAUCAUAGAGCUUCUCAUGAUCAAGUAACAAGCUAUUCACAAGUUAAAGCAUAGACCAUAAUUUUUCUUGAAAACUAACAAACUAUGUUCUCAGUCACCAAACAAUUGCAAUUCAUCUUAUUUUCAGGAAGGGUCUAUGUAAGAGCUUUGAUUUAGAAUUCCCACAUACUCAACUAUCAUAUAGUCUUCCAUGAUUGCUACCACUCAAAGCAUAUUUUUAGAACAAAUAGCAUCCAUCGAACACAGAGAAAGAUAGGGGCUUAGUGUUUCACCUCCCAAGUUACUUAUCAUAUAGAUAAUUGUCAACAGAAAUAAUUCAUGAUCAAAUAUAUUUAAAUGGCCAUAUAUGCUUAGAUCUUUCCCAACCACAUGAUGCUUGCCAACUAAAGAGUAGGUUGGAAUGAGAAGGGUAACUACUGACUCUUGCAUAAAAGUAAAAGAUAGGCCCUUUGCAGAGGGAAGCAAGGAUUUGCAGAGGUGCCAGAGGUCGAAGCUUUUAAAAUAGAGAUAAAAUAAUUUUGAGAGGUAUGCUUUCAUUGUCAACAUAACAACUAAGCGUUCCAGAUAUCUUCCAUACUAGAUACAUUAUAGGCGGUUCCCAAAUAGAAUGGUAAAGUUUUUACUCGCCCACCACCAACAAGCACAUACCACGGCUAGUCCAAAACAAUGGGUACCGUCCAACUAUCAACAAUCCUGGGGGAGUUUUGUUUAAUUAUUUGUGAUUUCGUUUUUGAUCUUUUGAUCAUAGGACUGGGCAUCCCAGUUACCAGCCACUCUCUCGUGAAUGAUGAUAGGAGUCCACUCAUCGUGAGAAUACCCACCUAGCAUGGAAGAUACUGACAGCCCCUAGUCGCUACAUGAGUGAUUCAGGCAUACAAAACAAAUAAUUAUUUGAAGGUUUAGAGUUUGGCACAUUCAAAUUUACUUGGAACGGUAGGUAAACACCGCAUAAAGGUAGAUAUGGUGGACACUGAUGGCAGAAACUUGGUUCAAGGAUUUUGGAUGCACAAGCAGUAUUCCCGCUUAGUACAGAAAUUUUGGCUAGCAAAGAAUUCUAAAUAGCAAGCACCACAUGUUGGAGGAUCUAUAACAAUAUAACUUCUAUACAAAUAUACCCAAACAUAACUCAUUAAGUUGUCUUCCUCGUCCAACUUCAACUAAUUUGAUCGAGUUUGAAAAUAAUUAAUGGGGCUCACAAUCAUAUAAGAUGUCCAAGAUAGUAUACUUAUAUGUGAAAUCUGCCUUCCUUCAAUAUUCUUUCAUGAAUUGUUCAAGUGACCAAUACUAUGUUUGCUAACUUUAAAUAAAUUUACCACCUAUACUCCUUAUCUGUGAAGUCAUUACUCCCCCAUGGGAUAAGCAUAUGAAACAUAUAUAAUUUUAGAUUUCAACCAUUUACCCAUAGGAUAUAAGUGAAGCACAUGAGUAAAUGACAAACUACUCCGAAAGAUAUAAGUGAAGAUCAAUUAGUAGUUGAAUAAUUAUGUAACCAUGUGAAGAUUCUCUAACAUUUAAUAAUUUCAGAUCUUGGGAUAUUGUUCAAAAAGCAAGCAAAACAAAAUGAAAUGACAUUGCAAGAAUAGCACAUAUCAUGUGAAGAAGCAAAAACUUAGGCUCAACCAAAACUGACCGAUAGUUGUUGAAGAAGGCGGGAUGCCAACCGAGGCAUCCCCAAGCCUAGAUGCUUGAGACUUCUUGAAAUAUUAAUUAGGGAUGCCUUGGGCAUCCCCAAGCUUGAGCUUUUGUGUCUCCUUAAUUCCGUUUAUAUCAUGGUUUCUUUAAAUCUCGAAAACUUCAUACACACAAAACUCAACAAGAACUCAUGAGAUAAGUUAGUAUAAAUCAACGCAAUAACCUUAUCAUUCUCUACUGUAGCAAAUCACUAAAAAUAUAUUAUUUGAUAUUGCCUACUAAAUGCCUCUGCAUAUUUAACACUCCUAUCCUCGAAUAGAAUCAUUAAACAAGCAAACAUAUGCAAACAUAACAACAAUCUGUCUAAACAAGACAGUCUGUAAAGAAUGCAAGAGGAAUCAUACUUCCCUAAAUCCAAAAAUUCUGAAAAAUCACCACACUAUAGAGAAUUUUUUGUUACUCAUUGUGUCAAAAUUUCAAGAUUUUAUCAUAUUCUUACUAUUCACCAAUAUUCAAAACAUAACAGAAAACUUUCUGUUUGCAAAAACAGCAACAUAUAGACUUGUAAAACAAGCAUGGUAAAGGCUAUACUUGA